UAGGGAAUCUUCGGCAAUGGACGAAAGUCUGACCGAGCAACGCCGCGUGAGUGAAGAAGGUUUUCGGAUCGUAAAACUCUGUUGUUAGAGAAGAACAAGGACGUUAGUAACUGAACGUCCCCUGACGGUAUCUAACCAGAAAGCCACGGCUAACUACGUGCCAGCAGCCGCGGUAAUACGUAGGUGUCAAGCGUUGUCCGGAUUUAUUGGGCGUAAAGCGAGAGCAGGCGGUUUCUUAAGUCUGAUGUGAAAGCCCCCAGCCCAGCAGGGGAGGGUACUUGGAAACUGGGAGACUUGAGUGCAGUAGAGGAGAGUGGAAUUCCAUGUGUAGCGGUGAAAUGCGUAGAUAUAUGUAGGAAAUACAGUGGCGAAGGCGGCUCUCUGGUCUGUAACUGACGCUGAGGCUCGAAAGCGUGGGGAGCAAACAGG
This 429-nucleotide ribosomal RNA is filed under the name Gemmatimonadota bacterium. Its description in RNAcentral is "Gemmatimonadetes bacterium partial 16S ribosomal RNA". It matches the Rfam family "Bacterial small subunit ribosomal RNA", at positions 355 to 776 of the family's 1533-position model. Lineage: Bacteria; Pseudomonadati; Gemmatimonadota. The record is from RNAcentral.